RNAcentral lists this long non-coding RNA (284 nucleotides) under Vigna radiata. RNAcentral's name for it is "long non-coding RNA (VRAD_LNC013468)". The record is from RNAcentral. Lineage: Eukaryota; Viridiplantae; Streptophyta; Magnoliopsida; Fabales; Fabaceae.
AUCUAAACAAAUUUUAAUCUCAAAUUUGAGUGCCAUGGGUGUUUAAUUAAUUUUGAAAAUAGGAAACUUAAAAAAAAACUUCAAGCAAAAAAAAAAAAAUAUCUUUUCAUAAAAUUAAAAUUAAAUUUUAAUAAAAUAAAAUUAGGUAGGUGGGUUGGUAGGCCAACCUAACCUACUACGGGUUCAACCCGCAUGAACCGGAUUUAAAUCUGACUCACAUAAAAGAAAUACAAUUUUUUCAAAUCCAACCCGGCCUGAACCCGUGGUGAGCCAGGUUGACCCGC